Molecule: ribosomal RNA, 470 nt
Filed under: uncultured Alphaproteobacteria bacterium
Lineage: Bacteria; Pseudomonadati; Pseudomonadota; Alphaproteobacteria
Description: bacterial SSU rRNA
Rfam family: Bacterial small subunit ribosomal RNA
Source: RNAcentral
GCUGGCGGCAGGCCUAACACAUGCAAGUCGAGCGCGCCUUCGGGUGAGCGGCGGACGGGUUAGUAACGCGUGGGAACGUGCCCUUCUCUACGGAAUAGCCUCUGGAAACGGAGAGUAAUACCUGUAUACGCCCUUUGGGGGAAAGAUUUAUCGGAGAAGGAUCGGCCCGCGUUAGAUUAGGUAGUUGGUGGGGUAACGGCCUACCAAGCCUACGAUCUAUAGCUGGUUUUAGAGGAUGAUCAGCAACACUGGGACUGAGACACGGCCCAGACUCCUACGGGAGGCAGCAGUGGGGUAUCUUAGACAAUGGGGGCAACCCUGAUCUAGCCAUGCCGCGUGAGUGAUGAAGGCCUUAGGGUCGUAAAGCUCUUUCGCCUGUGAUGAUAAUGACAGUAGCAGGUAAAGAAACCCCGGCUACUCCGUGCCCGCAGCCGCGGUAAUACGGAGGGGGUUAGCGUUGAACCGAUUCA